This 2176-nucleotide long non-coding RNA is filed under the name Triticum aestivum (bread wheat). RNAcentral's name for it is "long non-coding RNA (TAES_LNC008318)". Lineage: Eukaryota; Viridiplantae; Streptophyta; Magnoliopsida; Poales; Poaceae. The record is from RNAcentral.
CCCUAUUGGCGUGAAAGCGCACGCUGGACUGUGGGACCUUAGCCAUGCCGAGUUCAACAAUAGAGUUCGGGUGGGUAAAAAUUCCCUUGUACUAAUAAGUAUUCAUAGCAAGAUUAAUUGAGAAGGGCGGAUUGAUCAGCGAAGCCUAUGAAGGCAGCACUUCUUUGGCCUCCCCCAGUUUUAGCCCACUAUGUCACCAAUGGAGGAAACUUGGUGCAGGUUGGCUUUAAAUUAAUCUUCAAUUAAGACAAGGUCCUCUAGAACCGAGCCAAAUCGAUCUGGGAUGUGAUAACAAAGUGCUGAAGAAAUGAAGGAGGCUGGGCGGGGAUAUGUCAUGCUUUGUUUUGUUCUGCUAUAAAUCUCAUGCAUGCUCUCUCUUUAUAUUUAUCCAUUCUUUCCCUGAAGAUGAAGGUCAUUCCACCAAAAUUGAUCCCGUCUAUGAUGAUAUCACUUCCCUUUCAAGCCAAAGUUAACAUCUGCCUUCACUAACUCCAUUUGUAUUUGUGUAUGUUGGUGACAAUGGAACCUAGAUUCGUUGGUUUAAUGUUUUCAUUCUACACUCAUAUUUGUAUGAAGGUCUGCUGAAUCUGAUUAAACGAUUGUUUGGAUAUUUGAGUAGUAGUGUCAACAAUAAUAACUUCAAAUAUGCUUUUAUUUUCUCAAAUCCAAGAUAUCGUUGAUAUAGUUUGGAAGUUAAGAUCAACUGGGUAGAUAAGGGUAGCUAGGUUUCAGAGAUUAAAAGUUUUCUAUUUCUUCUGCUGUGUUAUUUUACUUGAAAAAAUGUAUUACAUUGCUAAGUAACUUUAUAGGCUGUGAGACAUAUAUGAACAGGUGCGUUCAUGUGUCACAAGAAACCAAGCUAUCCCAUGAGAUCCUACGACAGAUCUCCUGCCUUGCUGAAGAAGCUAGAAAAAGUUUAUCAUAGUUUUUCCACUGAGACAAUAAAUCUUUAUGAUAAUCGUAAGUUCCUAACUACCCGCUCAUACAGGUAAUUCAUAGAGAGGAGGAGGAUGGAGAAGGCUGCUAGAGCCUGAUAUGUUCGUUGUGACUUGGGCCUGACCAUUUGGAGAGGUAUAUGUUGAACUGGUGAGGUACAGAUUUCCAUCUGUCAUCUUUUCGUCAGCAUUUUAUUUAUCUUGUGGUUUCUGCAGUCACACAAAAAUUUGGGUACAAUUGAAAUAUAGGAUUAUAUGUAUAAUACUAUUGAAAUUAGAAGAGAUGCAUAUGAAUGUAUUAGAAGCUAGAGUAGGUGCAACAACCAAAACAAACAAGGCGAGGACGCUAGGAACUACACCCAGCUCUCACAGCCACAUAGCUAGCACAAGACCUUAAAGCAAAGUGCCACCAUGAUUCAUACAUGUUCCAGGAGAAACUAGAAUAUGAGCUACAAAUGUAGUGCAUCAGCAACAUUGUCUGUUACUCUGCUUCAUGUACAGUGCCAUUGCACAUUCAGUUAGGUACAUCCAGGACCUUGCAACAUUCAGUCAAGCUAACAGUCGAGCUUUCAGGCUCGCGUAAUCGGGCCGGCCCAUAACCAGGAAACGAGCACGUAAAAAUGGCACGAAAAACAAAACCGCACGCGAUGGGUUCGAUCUCGCGAACUCAAGCUAGGUAGCAGCGACGCCAACCACAUGAGCUAGCUGCCGACUACUCAAAUUGCAGCGCCCCAGUUAAAGUAGUUUAGCGACAGGUCUGUUUAUUUUUCUUAAAUAUUUUCAACAAUUCUUGGAAACAAGUGUGGAUGAUUUUCCUUCAAAUAUUUGAAUACAUUUUUAAAAUCAUGAAUAAAUAUCAAAAAUUCAAACAAAAUUUUGCAACCUUAACAAAAUUUGAAAUUCCAAAUGUUUAUUUUAAGAUUGCCAUGGGCGGUCCUCACUUGUAGCUCGAUGAGAUUAGUUUUUUCUAUGUUUUAUAUGAACAUUCCCUUGCAUGCGUGUGGUUCGGGCAGUAUCGUGGAUGAGCUCGUCUCGACCAUGUCAGGAUACAUGGAUGAUCAGGUGGUGUGGAUGAUCAGGUGGUGAACGGCCGACUUGGGUUCGGGUGUCAUGUCAAAAUAGAAGGCACAUCCAUGUGCAUGUAUGUGUGUGAGAGAGAAGAGGGGUCUUUAGACAUCACAGAAGCCGGACAUGCGAUAUUUUUCUUUUCCCGUUGCAACGCACGGGCAUUUUUGCUAGUA